RNAcentral lists this transfer RNA (73 nucleotides) under Marmota monax (woodchuck). It matches the Rfam family "tRNA". From Rfam's summary of the family: Transfer RNA (tRNA) molecules are approximately 80 nucleotides in length. Their secondary structure includes four short double-helical elements and three loops (D, anti-codon, and T loops). The record is from Rfam by way of RNAcentral. Lineage: Eukaryota; Metazoa; Chordata; Mammalia; Rodentia; Sciuridae.
GGGGAUGUAGCUCAGUGGUAGAGCACCUGCCUAAACAUGUAUGAGACACUGGGUUGCAUCCCCUGUACUCCCA